GACGAACGCUGGCGGCGUGCCUAAUACAUGCAAGUAGAACGCACAGUUUAUACCGUAGCUUGCUACACCAUAGACUGUGAGUUGCGAACGGGUGAGUAACGCGUAGGUAACCUGCCUGGUAGCGGGGGAUAACUAUUGGAAACGAUAGCUAAUACCGCAUAAUAUUGAUUAUUGCAUGAUAAUUGAUUGAAAGAUGCUAUUGCAUCACUACCAGAUGGACCUGCGUUGUAUUAGCUAGUAGGUGGGGUAACGGCUCACCUAGGCGACGAUACAUAGCCGACCUGAGAGGGUGAUCGGCCACACUGGGACUGAGACACGGCCCAGACUCCUACGGGAGGCAGCAGUAGGGAAUCUUCGGCAAUGGACGAAAGUCUGACCGAGCAACGCCGCGUGAGUGAAGAAGGUUUUCGGAUCGUAAAGCUCUGUUGUAAGAGAAGAACGGGUGUGAGAGUGGAAAGUUCACACUGUGACGGUAUCUUACCAGAAAGGGACGGCUAACUACGUG
This 505-nucleotide ribosomal RNA is filed under the name uncultured bacterium. RNAcentral describes it as "partial 16S ribosomal RNA". It matches the Rfam family "Bacterial small subunit ribosomal RNA", at positions 28 to 507 of the family's 1533-position model. The record is from RNAcentral.